AGCAGCCGCGGUAAUUCCAGCUCCAAUAGCGUAUAUUAAAGUUGUUGCAGUUAAAAAGCUCGUAGUUGAAUUUCGGGAUCAAUAUGUUGGUCGUGCCUUGGUACGUACUGGCAUUAUUGGUUUCUACCUUCUGAAGAACCCCGAUGUCAUUAAUUUGGUGUCUUGGGGAAUCAGGACUGUUACUUUGAAAAAUUAGAGUGUUUAAAGCAGGCUCGCGCUUGAAUACAUUAGCAUGGAAUAAUGAAAUAGGACGUUUGAUUCUAUUUUGUUGGUUUCUAGGAUUCGACGUAAUGAUUAAUAGGGAUAGUUGGGGGCAUUAGUAUUCAAUUGUCAGAGGUGAAAUUCUUGGAUUUAUUGAAGACUAACUACUGCGAAAGCAUUUGCCAAGGAUGUUUUCAUUAAUUCAAGAACGAAAGUUAGGGGAUCGAAGACGAUCAGAUACCGUCGUAGUCUUAACCAUAAACUAUGCCGACUAGGGAUCGGAUGAUGUUAAUUUUUAAUGACUCAUUCGGCGCCUUAA
RNAcentral lists this ribosomal RNA (520 nucleotides) under uncultured Glomus. RNAcentral's name for it is "SSU rRNA". It matches the Rfam family "Eukaryotic small subunit ribosomal RNA", at positions 569 to 1091 of the family's 1831-position model. The record is from RNAcentral. Lineage: Eukaryota; Fungi; Glomeromycota; Glomeromycetes; Glomerales; Glomeraceae.